This 4111-nucleotide unclassified non-coding RNA is filed under the name Orbicella faveolata. RNAcentral's name for it is "contactin-4-like, transcript variant X1". The record is from RNAcentral. Lineage: Eukaryota; Metazoa; Cnidaria; Anthozoa; Scleractinia; Merulinidae.
GGGGAAUGUUUGCCGACGUCAUUGUUUACAUUUUGCCUCAUUUAGCAUACGACUCAGUCUGCGUUGGAGAACGCAUCAUGCAAGACACAAAGUGACUCCAAACAUUCAAAAGCUUGUGAAACUUAUGAGUAAGAAACUAAAUUUAGCUGCUUGUGUGUGAAUAUUGGCGGAGAUAUUGGCUUUUGAAACACUUCAAAGUUCUGCCAGCUGUAAUGAGCCCAUAUAUGGCUUACAAAAUUCUCACAGAAUACAAUGUUUUAUGUAUCGAGUAGUAAAUCCUGUUGUAAAGUUUGUAAAAGUGAACUCUUGGAUUUUGUUCCUGUUCUCAUAAGGUUUUCCAUCGGCCGCUCCCUGUUUGUUUAACCGCGGUCGCGAGAUGGUAUUGCAUGAUUUUACAAUUGUUUAUAGUUCAGUUCCGAGAACUACUUCAAUAGUUGCCAUCGAAAGGAUGCAUACAAAUCAAAGCGCGGCCUCUGACUGAAAGCGGAAGUCUUAGCAGCACGCCUUAUCUUCAAGUGCUUUCAUUUACUUUUCUUUAGGAGUGCAGCUCGAAAGCAACUUUGGCUUAGCUUACUCUCAUACUAAGAGAUCUUAAUUCAACAUGUCAGUUUUCUGCGUUGAACGGUUGAAAUUCGGUUUGUACCAGUGACAUAGUCAGUGCGGUUUUCAUUUCGUUGCAUAUAUCGUUUCACUGUCGACACUGACGUGUUUCGAUGUUCAAUAAACUAAAUAUAGCUCACUUACGGCGUUUCAGUUCAAACCUCUGAAGCGAAACGCUUCCUGUUUACAGGAGUGUCAACGACUCUAAGUCAUGAACAACUCAAUCUCGUCAAGGAAUUUUUCAGGCCUAAAGCCAGUGGAAAUGGCUCGAAGACAAAAGCUACAGUACAUGAUGUUGGUUUUCACUUACUUUGCAGUAUUACAAGAGAUUGUGAACGCGUCAAAUGUACCACAUCCUUCGUUCACUUGCGGUCCCAACGGUAUUAAACACGACACAAACGACUCGGAAACACUUGGGGGAACACCCAACGUGGAUAUGACUUGCCCUAAACUGCCAAUUAAAAUGGACGCACACACAGAAAUUGCUUGUGAGGUGCUUUCCAAAACCUUCGCUAACAUAACCUGGUUCCAUAACCGACAACCAAUCAGCAAACAAAGAAAGAGUCACGUGACAGUUGAUAGGAAGUCCUGCUAUCAAACCCUCAAAAUUAAAUUUGUCACGACCAGCGAUGGUGGAAACUACACAUGCCAAGUUGCUAACGCCAAUGGAAACGUCAACAAAACAUGUGUUCUUGAUGUGAAGGCUCAUACAACCGAAGAAGUCCAGAUUGGAUAUGUGAAGAUAGCUGGCAAUCGGCAAAAAGCUAUCCUUCAAGGAAGUGUUGUGCUGAAAUGCAGCAUGCUCCACGCGCAAGCUGGUGUCUGGCUGAGAAACAGUGAAAGAAUAACGGAUAACGAACGUCAAGUCUAUAGACACGAACGCAUGUUUGGUGCUAAAGUAAUGAUGCUUUACCUGGAGAUCGUAAACGUGACCAAAAAUGACGAGGGAUUGUACACGUGUCUGGGAUACAGAAACGGAAGACAGGCUAAUAAGACUUUCUAUCUCGAGACAGAGCCAUGUCCAAGUGGUUACAUUUGCCCCCAUGAAGGAAACACAGCUAUUCGAAUCCCCGCAGCUGUCUUGCCAGGAUCGAAUGGUGUAUUCGUGGCACAAAGUAAAAGCAAAGGGUCUUGCUCCGUUUUUCAAGGUUACUUGCUGAUAUUUGUGUACAUACCUAUGGCUUUACAUGGAUGUCUGGGGUCUUGCUGAUUGCUUCCUGAAGUGUUGAGCAGCCGCUUAAUCUUCUCACGGAAUAUGAAACUAAACAGAAGUUGAGUAACGAUGGUGUUCGGAUUAUGCUGUGUUUAUAUAAGAGUCGUUGCUCCACUGCCUUAGCAAACGGCCUGGCAACAAGGAAAGCAUACGCAUGCUUCCAGACGAACCCGCAUAAUCGGGACCUCAAUGAGGUUACGCGACCAGGAUUCCGGGAAACAGUAACCAGGGAUCAGUUUCAUUAGUCAAAAGCUCUAUCAGCAAGAAGAAAAACGUUUCGGUUCCGAGCGCAAAAUGCCGCAGUUGGCAAAACGUUUUUAAAGCUCCGGGGUGCGACUCUGCGUUACGGUGCAACGCUUCGAGUUGCGGACGAGCUAACAGCUACGGGUGCGGGCAGUGUUUUAAUGAAUGAUCUCUUGAAAUGGGUUCGAGGUGAAUUGAGCUGGGAGGUGAAUAAUAAGUACGUCCAGUGGAAUAAACUUGUCAAAUUUAUACCUUUAUUGUGGGAUUAACGGCAAUACCGGGAAAACAAUAAAUCCCCGAAAGCGAUGCUUUGCGUGUAUAAAGUUACGUCGGUCGCUUUUUGCAUAAGACAAAAUCAAACGAAUGCCCAUCACUCUUUGUUUACUUCGCGGCUAGUUUCUACUAUCACUCUAAUGGAUACGUCUUCAUACAAUCGUGUUGAAAGUAAAACCGUACUUUGUGAAGGCCGCCUUGGUAAACAAGGCAUAGUUUCAAAGCCAUGACAUUAGCGUGAAGUAGUCUGUUUUUAUGAAGGGUAGUUUUAAGAGAUGAACGCAAAAUAUCACAGAUUACCCAGCUUUCAUUGAGAUUAAAGCGAAUCACGUUUGCGCGGCCUGAGAGCAAGGAUAAGGAUUAUAAGUACAUUACGUCUAAGUCCACACGCUCAUCUGCUAGUAAUGAAAGCUUGUCAAAAGUUGUACUAAGUGUAAAUAUACAUUAAGUAAAUCACAUUCUUCAGGCUUUUGAAACUGCUCAACAAAAGCUCAUUUAUUCCAAUAAUGCAGUAAACAUUUUUUUAUGCCCAAAAUUUCUCACAAAGCAACAUGAAGCCACAAAAGAACCCCAGUAUGACGAGUGCUGCAGCUAAACCUAAUCUAAACUUCUCAAUCGAAAAUAUUCUCAAGGAAGAAAAACCUGCGAAGGUUUUACUUUCUUCCGAACGUGUUCCCAGCAAGGAAACUGAAGGAGUUCAAGAAGGAACACCUUUGCCUGUAGAGAGAACGGUAACCAGCGAUCUUCCGUGGUUGGCGUACACGCGGUAUUCUCCCCCAAAAAUUCCAAGGUCAAAAAAUCGUAAGACUGUCAACAGACGAAAGGUAAGUGGUAGCCCAAGAGUUCCAUUUUCAACAGAACAGCUCCUGCAGUUGGAGAAAAGCUACGAGGACACCCACUAUGUUACCGCAGCUAAAGUAUCACAGCUUUCUGCAAUGCUGAAGCUUCCAGGAAACCGCAUUAAGAUUUGGUUUCAGAACCGCCGCGCAAGGGAAAAAAAGAAGUCCAAGAAGAUGACCUGUGAUGAUGGUGGCCAUCAAACGCUAAGUGACAUAUGUGUUGAGACAAAAGUCCGUGAAGAGCCUCACGAGGAAAUCAACCAAAACAUCUGCCCAUCGCGUUUUACUUGUCCAAGUUAUGAGAGAAUACAUCCCAGUUUCUCACCGAGGCGUGCACACGAGUUACAAUGUAGCACUUGUUUAAACAUAAAUGGAUGGCAGAGUAUAUCAAACUUGCCACAAACCCAUCUAUCAAGUUGCUUUGACUGUGGUCUGUACAAAGGAUUUAGGUAUCUCGUGUAAUUUAUUUUGUGUUAUCUCGCCGAUAAUCCAUCUGUACGUGUACGAUCGUUAGAAAACAUAAUACUGGACGCAACUGACAGUUACUAAAGUAUGAUAGUAUGGUUUAAUUAAUUUCUGUCUCCACUUCUGUCUAUGUCCAGUUUCAAAACGGACACUUCAUUCUUAUAUAACCAUAAUAGAGUCUUCCGCGUUCAGGAAGACAUAACCGUUAACAGUAUCGUAUUGAACGUAUCAGUUAAGAAACAAAACAGCCGAAAAGUGAAAUACGCUGGUUUAUGAUUUUUAAAAAAGGGCCAUACAGAGCAUAAAUAGCACAAAACCGUUGCAAGUUUUCCAUUUGUCACGCGUGCGCAGUGACGAGGCCACAUCAUGGUCAGGAAGGAAUAUUUCUUGCAGCUUCGUUUUCCACCGUGCUGAACUCCCCUCGCGAAGCCCGGCAUUUAAUUAUUCGACCUCAAAGAUCGUGCCUUCAAAGGAAAAA